GAGGAAAGGGGCUUAUUAAAUACCAGAGUGAACCCUACCAUCAACUUUUUGUUUGCUCCAGAGGUGGUAGCAGAACCAGUGGGGUAAGGAGUGCGCUGGAAUAUCUGCGGCUGGUAUGGAGCAGAGUGUAAAAGUGUAUCUCUGUGUCAUGGCUGCUCUGCCCCUCUCUGGCACCUCCUGUCAUAUCAAAGGCUUGCCAGCAGCAGGAUGGGGAAUAAAGCUAUCCAGGAUGGUAAUCCGCAGCAAUUUGGGGGAUUUUAAAUCUACCAAGUCUCCCUCUCCAGAGAUUUGUAUUUGAUGCCCUGAAAAAAGUCUACAACAUUUGAAAAGUGGCUGUUUCUGCAUCUGAAACAUGCAGAGGUUUCAAUUUUGAAGGGCACAUUUCAAAACCACUUUUUACUCAGGAGCGUAAAGUGGGCAUUUCUCAGCGCUCUGCUCCACCCUUGUGUGUGUAGCAGAAGGCACAGAGACUCCUGAUUUGGGCAGUUUUGCAACUUCGUUGCAGAUGUUUUGCACAUUUUAGAUAAAACCUGCUUCCUAGCAUUAGCUCUCUUGAGGUACUGCGGUGGAGCCCGGCCCUUCCUGAAUGGCUGGGAAAGAUAGGAUGUGGGCAGGGCCGGCUCUAGGCACUCUUGGGGCGGCACAUUUCUAGGGGCGGCAUUCCGGCCCCCGCCGCCCCAGCUCCCCUGAGCGCGCCGCCGACGCUCCGCUUCUCCCCGCUCCCUCCUUCCCAGGCUGCCGCGGUUCUGCGCGGCAAGCCUGCGAGGGAGGAGAAGCCGAGCGGCGGCGCGCUCGCGGGAGGGGGCGGCGGUGGAGCGGAGGUUUCUCUACCCCAGUUACUCCCUGCGCCCCCCCGCCGCUCUCCCUGCUCCCGUGAACGCGCCGCCGCUCCCUCGCCUGGGGGGGGGGGGGAAGCGGAGCGGCGGCGCGUUCAGGGGAGUGGAGGCAAUUCAAGGUGAUGUUUUUCCCCUGAUGAGGAGCAGAUGUCUGUCUGGUGAUGUGCACAUUCGACACAGAUCUGUUGCUGCCUGUCAAGCAGCUGGAUGGUCAGUGUAUAGACUCCUUCGUCACUGAAAGUCACACAAUGAAUCGUCAAGGAAAAGUUCGUAUGAGAAAAGACAACUCUCUUCUUGUAACUUUCAUUAAUAUAGAUGUUCUUGGAGCUGGGUGAGUAUGUUAGAAUGGAGACCUCUUUGUUCCUGUUCAGCUGUGCACACCACUCCACGUUAAAGACCGAAGAAGCGUUCAGAUUGGUCCCCAUCAGCAGUAGUGUGGUGUUGAAGUGCCAAUAGACUUCUUUAGUCUUUUGGUGCAUCGUGACCUCUGAGGAGAAGAAGUCAAGCAGAACAGCAUUAGUCGUGCUGGAAAGGUGGCCAGAAGUUAACUCACGUGUUGCUCAAAGAAGUCAGAAGCCGUGUUGGAAGGAGGAAUAUUAUCAGUGCUCUGGGGUGCAUUGGCAAGGACUACCCUCGCCUGGGCCUCCUUCCGAAAUGGGGAACUCGAUCAUUAACCCAGAGCCCAAUCACCUCAUCGUUUUUAUGUGCACAACUCCAGCUGAGUGUACACAACUGCCAUGAAGGGUGGGACUCUGGAGUCAGAAGAGCAGCCAGCCCAGCGUUCAUUCUGAGGUGCAUAGGAAGAAAAGCAGGGAGUCAAAAAUUUUGGAGCGUGACAGUGAAAUGUUUGCUCCAGUGAAAAAAUUGGGGGGAUUUAAGAGGAAGCUCUUCUAAGCCCACCAUCAUGCUUUCCUUGCCCAGCAGGUUUGCUCGCCAUUAUGAUCCAAUGACUGCCACACUGUUGGGCUGAAGACCAUGUUAGAGAAGGGGAAACUGUUUGAAAUCACCUCAUCCACCUGCUGAGCUAUUCUAACCUUUGACAGCAAGAUCUCGAGCAAGAUACCGAAGCCACAGUGUGUCCCGAUCUCAUACUGAUUCAGGUGUGUUUUCUUUUGCUGUAGCAAAUCUAGGACCAGACAUGUGACCAGCUCAGAAAGACAGAUACCACGGUGAGAUAUGCCUUAGAAAUAGCUAAGACAGAUGGGGAAGAGCAUGGAAUGAGCGUCUCCUUUCCUAAAAGCACCUAAUAAAGAUAUUUAGGUAUGUUUUAAAUGCCCAAGAAUUAAAACUGACAGAAGAGAGAGCACCAUAUUUUCAGUGUCUGUGUAGCCCUGUCUAGACUGGAGUUUUUAAUCCCUGCUGUAACUUGAGAUAAUUGGCUGCCAUUUAACUCCACCUAAUUAACGUGAAUGUAAAUGCAAUGCAAAUACUCCACAUUGCUCUGGACACCAACAUUUGUCCCUGGUUGUAGCUCAGCAUUGAGUUCAACCGGAUCUUGUUGCACUUGUGACAGUGCUGUGAUUCCACCAUGGAGUAAUGGGAAAAUAUUCUCUCUGCAGUACUGUUGCUGACUGAGGAGGAACAACGCGAGAAGUGGCACAACUGCUUUUCAGCAGAGACAUUUACAGAAGCUGUCACAAAAUUAGGCAAGCCUUUCAACUGCUUUGCACAUGACUUGCAGAUCCCAAGUCAAAGCAGCUGCAGUAAUUAUAAAUACGGAACAGAGGAAAGAUCUGUGUCCAGAUUCUCUGAAUUAAACAGAUGGAAAUCAGUGCAGGCCCACAGUCCUAGACCCCACCCUGCUGCCCCCUUUCUCAGCACUCUGCUCCCCACUAGAAGCAGGAAAGAGCAUCCCCUGUGCUCCAUAGCAGCCAUGCAAGAGGAAAAACUUGUUGAGCACCCUGUGCACAAGGGCCGCUCAGAGUCUAGCCAUUGCUGCUUUUUGCCUGUAUAGGAUGUGCCUGCAUGGCACUAAGUCCCCUAACUUGGUCACUCUGGAAGCUGUUUCAAGAAGCACAUAACCCUACUCCUGUUCAAGUGACAUGUGGCUUCACACCUCUUGUUUCCUUUUUGGCAUCAACACCUCUUUUGCCUUUCCUCCUCUGCGUACCCAAGGCAAUGGCCAUUUUGCAACCUGUGUUUCUCAGAACUGAUCUCACUUCCUGGCUCUGACAACAAGGGCCAACCUUUCAGACUCUGCAAAGGGCAAAUGGUGGGCAAGUGGCUGUCAGCACCUCAUGCACCAAGGAGUGGAGUUGAUACUGUGCUGGGGCCAGAGCAAUAUACAAAGACAAGGGAAGGGAGACAAAUGUCACAUCAUGCCCAGUGUUCCUAGGGCUUAGCAUCUGAGAAGGUCUAGAACAGGGGUGGCCAAAUCGUGGCUCACAAGCCGCAUGCGGAUCUUUUACAGAUAAAGUGUGGCUCGCAGAACCCCACCCCCAUUCUCCACCUACCAGACUGCAGGGACGGGGAACAGACCUCAGGACCUCUGCCUUGCAGCGGGGUGGUGGAGUAGGGGCUUCUGCCCAGCAGGGAGGGGUGUUUUGGGGCCACAGACCCAUGGGGUGUGGCAGCCAGGGCUCGAGCCUUCAGCAAGAGCAGUGCUGAAGCGCCGAGCCCCGGUAGGUGUGCCCUGGCUCUCAAACUUUGGAAGAUUGUUGGAUGUGGCUCCUCCAGGGUCAGUAAGUUUGGCUCUCAAACUUUGGAAGAUUGUUGGAUGUGGCUCGGAGGGUCAGUAAGUUUGGCCACCCCUGGUAUAGAAUAUGCCAACAAUAGUUGGGUGCUGCUACUCCACUGACCCCCUGUGGGGAAUUUUUAUUUUUAGCACAGCUGUCAGUACAGGGUGAGACAAGGUGGGUGAGGUGAUACCUUUUAGUGGGCCAACUUCUGUUGGUGAGAGAGAUGAGCUUUUGAGAUACACAGUAAAAGAUAUGACCUCACCCUCCUUGUUUCUCUAAUAUCCUGGGACUGACCAAGCUGCAACAACACGGCAUAGUACAGUGUGAUGCAUUUUACAGCUGCUAUUUCUCCUGGUAUUACUCCUCAAAUUACUCAGGUAAAUGCAGCUAACAGCGAAGGCUCUGGGCCAUCACAGAGCUUAAACCUUUCUCUAAAGGGCUGAUCCUAGACAGUGCAAGCCAGUGGGAGCUUUGUCAUUGGCUUCAGUGGGAGCACGAUUGAGCCCUAAGUGCAGAUGCAAAGAAGUGCACUGGAGUUCCUGGAUCAGCCGCCCCUGGAGAGCUGAAAGCAGUUACCUGAUCUCCCAGUUGGGAGGGCAAAUCUUCUGCUUGUCCAAAGGCUCUGCACAACAUGGGUAACAGCCAUACAACUUUUCCCCACACUGAACUACCAAACUGCCUUUUGGACUUCACCAAAGGGUAGGAAUGCCCAGAUUUAAAUAAAGGAAUCAAAAUGAGAUCAAGAAAAGGCACAUCUUAUUUGCCAGAAUUUUUAUUUUGCUGCACUCACCCAACUCUGCUCCUAAAUUGAGAAGUAUGUUGCAGAGAGGAGACACAGUCUGACUUUCAGAUCAAAGACACAGUGCAUACAAGAUAGUUAGCGUUAGACCCUAGACAGACAAGGAGACAACAGAAUUUCUUUCCAGACAUGCCAGUUCCUGUGACAUAAUCGUGAGUUUUGUGAUAUUGGGUGUUCUGAAAGCCCCAACUCCUGGUGUCGUGUGUAUGAGAAUCUGAGCUUAAAGUAAAUUUCCAACCUUCAUGGUUGCAGAGGAAAGCUAGAAAACACGCUCCCUAUGGGAUCAAAAGUGAGAAGACAAAAAGACUCCAAAUUCGUUCUUUUACAAAAAUCUCAUGGUUUUGGGGGGACCUGGCUUAUGAGUUUCAAAUCUUUCGGGCUGGCAAUACUGCAAUGAGAUGGUCCCCCCCCACAUUGAACUUCCCUACAUUCAUCUAUCACGUGAUCAUUCCCUGUUCUGUGGCCACACUGAGGGCUUCUGCUCCCAGGCUGUCGCUCAAGUUCAUGGGGACUAAAUUCACUGCAAUUGUUUAUUUAAGAAUCUUUAUUUUCAAGCAUGAGCGAGGGAGAAGGCAGGGCACGCUGGACAUGUCUUUGGGGUUUAAGAGCAGAUGUCUUAAAAGAAAUAUCUAUGCUGAUUAGCAGCUAAAUUGUGACUUUAACUACAUGCCCAUACAGGGGAAGUAAGAACCCUGCUUAUGGGUCUAACUGGACAUUGGACUGGGAGGAGUUUGUGGAUGGGCAAAGGCCAGCGACAUGACUUCCCUCACCCACUCACUGGCAUAGGGGAUAUCAUAAUUUGUUGCUGGUAUAGGAAAGCAGCAAACUACUGCAUUUCCUUCCCCUUCCCCAGAAGCCAGGAGGAAGCAGGGAUAGAACUGUGACUCAGAGGGGUGUCUUUGAGUCACAGUGCGUCCCGGGGCUUCUCCUAACUUGGCAUUGCUUUCUCACUACCCUUUGUUCAGGGCUGCAUCUAGGGUCACAGUCCAGCCCUGUGUGAUCUGACUGACUGAAAGCGUUUAAGUUAUUUCUGGUGCGUGGUUUCCUGGUAUCUCCUCCGUCAGCGGAUGGUGAGUUUCCUUGGGAAACAACUUUCUUUUAAAUUUAAAAACUUUCUUCAAAGCUCUUAUAGGGCUGGUGUGAUGCUGGCUCACGGCAGAAUCAGCCUUACUAAACCAGUCAUUACUGCAGGACAUGGGCACAUCAGUAGAUUCAUGGAGAAAGCUCAAUGGGCAAUUUCCACUUGCUUGCCCACUUUUUCACUUGCUUCUUGAGUCUAAUCUCUCCACUCCCAUGUAGCUGCCCAGAGUUGUGGGGAUGGGAGAGGGAGAAGCAGCCUCACAUUUGCCUUUGUGUGAUGAGGAUGGAAGUGGGGAAUGGAACCUGUGGAUACAAUCUGAGCUUCUUGGGACCAAUGCAGUUGGGCCAUAGGGAAAGCCAACUGAAGUCAGUAGAAUGACUCCCAUUGACUCGAGUGGACUUUGGAUCAGGCCUCUCUCUGCACCUUGGGUGUCCAGUUUAACCAUUUCCUGUUCCACAGUGAUGAGUGUGGCAUAACAGAUCAGACAGACAGACAUACUCCAACAAAUAACCCAGCAACUGCUUUUCUAAAAGAUCUGCUCAGUUCAAAUAGGAAUUAAUUCAGAGAAGCCUUGGAAUCUAUUAAUCAUUCACACUAGAAUUCGGGAUACUUUUCUUUCUGUGAACAUUCUGAGAAUAAACCCUUCCUCAUCCAGACUCACAUGGAAGGGGGGUUUGUCAUUUGUGCCCCAGCUGAACCCCACUGACUUCAGUGGGGCUCUAGGCAUGCUCGAGUGUCCACAUAGGUCCUGAUCCUGCAAGUGGAUGAAAGUUGAUAAAAGGGUUUGUGAAUAAUUGUAAAACAGAGCAACAGGUUUUGUGUGCAAGAAUAUUAAUAUUGGGUUGGCUUCCCCCCCCCCCGCCACCUUGUAUUCACCCAAUUCUGUUCCACAAUCUCUAUUGACAAGGAUGAUGUAUUUGAUGCAGAGUGAAUACAGCUUGACUUUCAUAGCCCAGACGUAACUGGUGGUGAUGGCAGGCAGAAUACGCUUGCUUCUAUUAAUUUAAUUUUUGGUGUAUAAGAGUGCCCAUCAGUACAUUCUCCAGGCAUGGAGUAAUAUGCAAAAACAAGAAUUUGUUGAACAAUAACAGCACGAAAGACAUUUUUCUCUAUCACACAACUGUAGACUAGUUCUGUCCUCAAAACAUCCACACACACACACAACCUCAUCAAGCUAACCUUGAAAACUAAGCCCAUUUGAUAAAGGGAUUAUUGCUGGAUGGUUAUUGUCACAAAAGUUGCUUUAACAUCAGACACAGACAUCACUUCACUUACCAGGAAGAAGGCAAGCAAGAUAGAGCAGAAGAGCAAGCAGCAUCUCAUGCAGAGUUUCCCGGGGCAUGUUCUUCCUGGAAAGUUACAGAAGAGCUAGAGCCUGAGAUAAAAGGAGUGAGAAGUGUUGCUUUAAUAAACAUUUUUUACAGCAGUUUCCUUGGACAAAUCUAUCUUUGCAUCUAUCAGAUAGAAAGGCUGGCCUCCUGGGUCCCAGCUGAGUGGUUUCAGUUUAAAACCUGGUUCUAUCACAGAUACUGUAUGUAAACUUUGACAAAUCACUUAAUCUGUGAGAUGCUCGUGUAAUUAAAAAAUGAAUCAUAAUGCAUAUGCACAAGGGUGGGGUGGGGUGGGGUGGGGGGUGAAUUCAGGUUGCACUGCCAACCUCAGUUCUUGUAUUUCCUAAUUUUCCACUGUGUGACUUUGCAAGCUUAGUGUCCUUUUCAUAUAGCUUUGGGAUGGAAUUUCUUACAUUUUUAAAAACAUUAAAAGUUGAAAAAACAAAAAUGUUAUUUAAUCA
This is a long non-coding RNA of Caretta caretta (loggerhead turtle), 7186 nucleotides long. RefSeq lists it as uncharacterized. Lineage: Eukaryota; Metazoa; Chordata; Testudines; Cheloniidae. The record is from RefSeq and is a predicted model, not a curated record.